GGGUUGUGAGGUUAAGCGACUAAGCGUACACGGUGGAUGCCCUGGCAGUCAGAGGCGAUGAAGGACGUGCUAAUCUGCGAUAAGCGUCGGUAAGGUGAUAUGAACCGUUAUAACCGGCGAUUUCCGAAUGGGGAAACCCAGUGUGUUUCGACACACUAUCAUUAACUGAAUCCAUAGGUUAAUGAGGCGAACCGGGGGAACUGAAACAUCUAAGUACCCCGAGGAAAAGAAAUCAACCGAGAUUCCCCCAGUAGCGGCGAGCGAACGGGGAGGAGCCCAGAGCCUGAAUCAGUGUGUGUGUUAGUGGAAGCGUCUGGAAAGGCGCGCGAUACAGGGUGACAGCCCCGUACACAAAAAUGCACAUACUGUGAGCUCGAUGAGUAGGGCGGGACACGUGGUAUCCUGUCUGAAUAUGGGGGGACCAUCCUCCAAGGCUAAAUACUCCUGACUGACCGAUAGUGAACCAGUACCGUGAGGGAAAGGCGAAAAGAACCCCGGCGAGGGGAGUGAAAAAGAACCUGAAACCGUGUACGUACAAGCAGUGGGAGCCUCUUUAUGGGGUGACUGCGUACCUUUUGUAUAAUGGGUCAGCGACUUAUAUUCUGUAGCAAGGUUAACCGAAUAGGGGAGCCGAAGGGAAACCGAGUCUUAACUGGGCGUUAAGUUGCAGGGUAUAGACCCGAAACCCGGUGAUCUAGCCAUGGGCAGGUUGAAGGUUGGGUAACACUAACUGGAGGACCGAACCGACUAAUGUUGAAAAAUUAGCGGAUGACUUGUGGCUGGGGGUGAAAGGCCAAUCAAACCGGGAGAUAGCUGGUUCUCCCCGAAAGCUAUUUAGGUAGCGCCUCGUGAAUUCAUCUCCGGGGGUAGAGCACUGUUUCGGCAAGGGGGUCAUCCCGACUUACCAACCCGAUGCAAACUGCGAAUACCGGAGAAUGUUAUCACGGGAGACACACGGCGGGUGCUAACGUCCGUCGUGAAGAGGGAAACAACCCAGACCGCCAGCUAAGGUCCCAAAGUCAUGGUUAAGUGGGAAACGAUGUGGGAAGGCCCAGACAGCCAGGAUGUUGGCUUAGAAGCAGCCAUCAUUUAAAGAAAGCGUAAUAGCUCACUGGUCGAGUCGGCCUGCGCGGAAGAUGUAACGGGGCUAAACCAUGCACCGAAGCUGCGGCAGCGACACUAUGUGUUGUUGGGUAGGGGAGCGUUCUGUAAGCCUGUGAAGGUGUACUGUGAGGUAUGCUGGAGGUAUCAGAAGUGCGAAUGCUGACAUAAGUAACGAUAAAGCGGGUGAAAAGCCCGCUCGCCGGAAGACCAAGGGUUCCUGUCCAACGUUAAUCGGGGCAGGGUGAGUCGACCCCUAAGGCGAGGCCGAAAGGCGUAGUCGAUGGGAAACAGGUUAAUAUUCCUGUACUUGGUGUUACUGCGAAGGGGGGACGGAGAAGGCUAUGUUGGCCGGGCGACGGUUGUCCCGGUUUAAGCGUGUAGGCUGGUUUUCCAGGCAAAUCCGGAAAAUCAAGGCUGAGGCGUGAUGACGAGGCACUACGGUGCUGAAGCAACAAAUGCCCUGCUUCCAGGAAAAGCCUCUAAGCAUCAGGUAACAUCAAAUCGUACCCCAAACCGACACAGGUGGUCAGGUAGAGAAUACCAAGGCGCUUGAGAGAACUCGGGUGAAGGAACUAGGCAAAAUGGUGCCGUAACUUCGGGAGAAGGCACGCUGAUAUGUAGGUGAAGCGACUUGCUCGUGGAGCUGAAAUCAGUCGAAGAUACCAGCUGGCUGCAACUGUUUAUUAAAAACACAGCACUGUGCAAACACGAAAGUGGACGUAUACGGUGUGACGCCUGCCCGGUGCCGGAAGGUUAAUUGAUGGGGUCAGCGCAAGCGAAGCUCUUGAUCGAAGCCCCGGUAAACGGCGGCCGUAACUAUAACGGUCCUAAGGUAGCGAAAUUCCUUGUCGGGUAAGUUCCGACCUGCACGAAUGGCGUAAUGAUGGCCAGGCUGUCUCCACCCGAGACUCAGUGAAAUUGAACUCGCUGUGAAGAUGCAGUGUACCCGCGGCAAGACGGAAAGACCCCGUGAACCUUUACUAUAGCUUGACACUGAACAUUGAGCCUUGAUGUGUAGGAUAGGUGGGAGGCUUUGAAGUGUGGACGCCAGUCUGCAUGGAGCCGACCUUGAAAUACCACCCUUUAAUGUUUGAUGUUCUAACGUGGACCCGUAAUCCGGGUUGCGGACAGUGUCUGGUGGGUAGUUUGACUGGGGCGGUCUCCUCCUAAAGAGUAACGGAGGAGCACGAAGGUUGGCUAAUCCUGGUCGGACAUCAGGAGGUUAGUGCAAUGGCAUAAGCCAGCUUGACUGCGAGCGUGACGGCGCGAGCAGGUGCGAAAGCAGGUCAUAGUGAUCCGGUGGUUCUGAAUGGAAGGGCCAUCGCUCAACGGAUAAAAGGUACUCCGGGGAUAACAGGCUGAUACCGCCCAAGAGUUCAUAUCGACGGCGGUGUUUGGCACCUCGAUGUCGGCUCAUCACAUCCUGGGGCUGAAGUAGGUCCCAAGGGUAUGGCUGUUCGCCAUUUAAAGUGGUACGCGAGCUGGGUUUAGAACGUCGUGAGACAGUUCGGUCCCUAUCUGCCGUGGGCGCUGGAGAACUGAGGGGGGCUGCUCCUAGUACGAGAGGACCGGAGUGGACGCAUCACUGGUGUUCGGGUUGUCAUGCCAAUGGCACUGCCCGGUAGCUAAAUGCGGAAGAGAUAAGUGCUGAAAGCAUCUAAGCACGAAACUUGCCCCGAGAUGAGUUCUCCCUGACCCUUUAAGGGUCCUGAAGGAACGUUGAAGACGACGACGUUGAUAGGCCGGGUGUGUAAGCGCAGCGAUGCGUUGAGCUAACCGGUACUAAUGAACCGUGAGGCUUAACCUUACAACGCCGAAGCUGUU
Molecule: ribosomal RNA, 2928 nt
Filed under: Escherichia coli
Lineage: Bacteria; Pseudomonadati; Pseudomonadota; Gammaproteobacteria; Enterobacterales; Enterobacteriaceae
Description: bacterial LSU rRNA
Rfam family: Bacterial large subunit ribosomal RNA
Source: RNAcentral